AUAACGUGGCAAGAAACAACCUCGUGCACAUAUCCUUAAGUCUGCCUUUCUGGAGGAUGCUUGAUCACUGUUGGGAGGAAGAAGAGAAAAGCGAAGACCCGUGUUGAUAAGGCAGCACCGUUUCUAGGAAUCCACGCGUUUCAUUCUGUCUGCUCUUGGGGAGGAAACAAUGGGGGGGCAUAUUCCCUCUUGUCUGAGAAGGAGAUGAAGCCCCUGUGUCCUGGGAAGGCUGAAAUGAAGCUUUGUAGGGUGAGGAGAACAGCCUGGGCGCUCCCACGGCAGCACAGGAACCCUCCCAGAUCUGGGCAGACCGCGCGCAGGGCCACAGCCCGGAGGCACAGAACCAGAGGCACAGGAUGGUCAUCCAGCCCACAGAGAGCUCAGCCAUGGACACCGAGGCCUGUGGAGCAUCAGUGACUUGAAGGUUGUGCUGACUCUACUCCAUGCCUUCCUUGGAGCUGCAAGCCCUUGGCCUCCUCAUCCUCUUCUUCUUGAACCAGCCCCAGCCUAUGGUGUUAAAUGGCCCCACACACCUCGGUCCAGCCUUGGCCACCCCUGGAUGGGGCUCAGGGCAGCAGUUUCCACAAAGCCUUGUAACUUGAUUGAGAAUUUGAGCAGCAGCAGCCAGUUCUCCUGAGCCCCGUCCUAGCUGGAAACUCUGGAGGCCUUUGUAUAAAUGCCCCACUAUGGGGUCCAGCUCAAGGGUGGCUCAGACACAGUCUGGAAUGGUCCCUGGUCAUGGGUCAUCCAUGGCAAGCUGGAAGCCAGGCUGAGCACACCCAAAGCCCUGGUUGUAACCCUAAGCGUCCUGAUGACUCACUGGGUGAUUGAUUUCAAAAUCCCCAGUUGCUGGUUGGUGCCAUGUGUCUGAUGGCCCAGAUGCCCUGGACUCUGAGCAGCUGUGUCACAGACAGAAUUUCCCACUGGCCCCUCGUCCCUGUCUUCAAUGAGGUCUGUGAGCCCUGGGCUGCCUCCCUAAACAGUUUUCCAACAUGAGAAUGACAUGCCCAGGACCCUGCAAGGGGAAAGGCUGGGUCUUGGGACUUUUCCCCCGUGGGUGUUCGCAGACUCAAGAUGAAAGGAAGCUCUCCAGCCAUUCUGGGAAACAGUAUGGAGUUUCCUUCAAAAAUGAAAAAUAGAUUUACCGUGUGAUCCAGCAAUCCUAUUCCUGGGCAAAUACCCAGACAAAACUCUAAUUCCAAAUGAUACAUACACCCCAAUGUUCAUUGCAGCACUCUAUACAAUAGCCAAGACAUGAAGAAACCUAAAUGUCCAUCAACAGAUGAAUGGAUUAAGAAGAAGUGGUACAUGUAUUCAAUGGAACACUACUCAGCCAUAAAAAAGAAUGAAAUAAAGCCCUGUGCAGCAGCA
This 1371-nucleotide long non-coding RNA is filed under the name Sus scrofa (pig). Its description in RNAcentral is "lncRNA (ENSSSCG00070017281.1)". Lineage: Eukaryota; Metazoa; Chordata; Mammalia; Artiodactyla; Suidae. The record is from RNAcentral.